RNAcentral lists this ribosomal RNA (460 nucleotides) under uncultured bacterium. Its description in RNAcentral is "partial 16S ribosomal RNA". It matches the Rfam family "Bacterial small subunit ribosomal RNA", at positions 338 to 795 of the family's 1533-position model. The record is from RNAcentral.
CCUACGGGAUGCAUCCGUGAGGAAUAUUGGUCAAUGGGCUUACGCCUGAACCAUCCCAGUCGCGUGAGGGAAGACUGCCCUAUGGGUUGUAAACCUCUUUUGUCAGGGAGCAACGCCGGCUACGUGUAGCCGGACUGAGAGUAACUUAAGGAAAAGCAUCGGCUAACUACGUGCCAGCAGCCGCGGUAAUACGGAGGAUGCGAGCGGUAUCCGGAUUUAUUGGGUUUAAAGGGUGCGUAGGCGGAAUGCCAAGUCAGCGGUAAAAUCGCGGGGCUCAACCUCGCUCCGCCGUUGCAACGGGCGUUAGUGAGUGGGCGAGAAGUAUGCGGAAGGAGUGGUGUAGCGGUGAAAGGCAUAGAUAUCACGCAGAACUCCGAUUGCGAAGGCAGCAUACCGGCGCCCAACUGACGCUGAAGCACGAAAGCGUGGGUAUCGAACAGGAUUAGAUACCCGUGUAGUC